CAGGACGAACGCUGGCGGCGUGCCUAAUACAUGCAAGUCGAGCGGACAGAUGGGAGCUUGCUCCCUGAUGUUAGCGGCGGACGGGUGAGUAACACGUGGGUAACCUGCCUGUAAGACUGGGAUAACUCCGGGAAACCGGGGCUAAUACCGGAUGGUUGUUUGAACCGCAUGGUUCAGACAUAAAAGGUGGCUUCGGCUACCACUUACAGAUGGACCCGCGGCGCAUUAGCUAGUUGGUGAGGUAACGGCUCACCAAGGCGACGAUGCGUAGCCGACCUGAGAGGGUGAUCGGCCACACUGGGACUGAGACACGGCCCAGACUCCUACGGGAGGCAGCAGUAGGGAAUCUUCCGCAAUGGACGAAAGUCUGACGGAGCAACGCCGCGUGAGUGAUGAAGGUUUUCGGAUCGUAAAGCUCUGUUGUUAGGGAAGAACAAGUGCCGUUCAAAUAGGGCGGCACCUUGACGGUACCUAACCAGAAAGCCACGGCUAACUACGUGCCAGCAGCCGCGGUAAUACGUAGGUGGCAAGCGUUGUCCGGAAUUAUUGGGCGUAAAGGGCUCGCAGGCGGUUUCUUAAGUCUGAUGUGAAAGCCCCCGGCUCAACCGGGGAGGGUCAUUGGAAACUGGGGAACUUGAGUGCAGAAGAGGAGAGUGGAAUUCCACGUGUAGCGGUGAAAUGCGUAGAGAUGUGGAGGAACACCAGUGGCGAAGGCGACUCUC
RNAcentral lists this ribosomal RNA (722 nucleotides) under Bacillus siamensis. Its description in RNAcentral is "bacterial SSU rRNA". It matches the Rfam family "Bacterial small subunit ribosomal RNA", at positions 25 to 729 of the family's 1533-position model. The record is from RNAcentral. Lineage: Bacteria; Bacillati; Bacillota; Bacilli; Caryophanales; Bacillaceae.